Molecule: long non-coding RNA, 898 nt
Filed under: Papio anubis (olive baboon)
Lineage: Eukaryota; Metazoa; Chordata; Mammalia; Primates; Cercopithecidae
Description: lncRNA (ENSPANG00000037551.1)
Source: RNAcentral
GAGCAAAAUGCCUGUUAACCGAAGUUUGAUUAAGAUUCUCUCCCUUCCCCAGGUCCCUGAACUUUGGCCUACCCUCAGCCUGUGUGAGUGAUAGAGAUAGGAGGCAGCCAAGGGUCCCCGGAGAAACCCCGCCUUCAAGCCUAAAACAGCUUGAAGGCUGAAAAACCAAACUGCCGGUCCCAGAUGAAGCCCACCCUUUUCCCGACUGAUUCGUUCUGAAUAAUGCGCACAUGCGCACUAGCGAGGACAGGCUGGAGCCUCUCGAAGUUUGCGCCCUUUGCAGGGGGGAGGAGCCUGGCCUCUCCAGUUCCUGUGUGGUAACCUGAGAUUCAAUCUGUGAGGCAGGAAACCUGCUAGCAGGGCUCUCUCUCUCUUUGCUGUGGGUUCCUGUUUACCUUUUUCUUAUAUUUUUUCCUUUUCAUCCAAUAAAUUCCAUUCCCCCUCACCCGUCAAAGUGUCUGUGUGCCUAACUUUUACUGGUUGUAUGACAAGAACCCAGUGUUUUCUACAACAUUUUUGGCGUCCGGACGUGGGGCUUGAAGAAGGGUUCAAGCAAUUCUCCUGCCUCAGCCUCCGAAGUAGCUGGAACUACAGGAGAAGGAGGGGAGAGGAAAAGAAAAAGGAAGUAAGAUCGAGAAGCUGUGGGGCCAAAGAAUGGAACAGAAUGUUGCAAUGGAGUGCUGAUUACUCUUCAGCACCAUUCUGGGAAGGAAAUGCCAAGACCACUCCCAUCUCUCAGAAUUACUCAUCUGAGCACAGACAACUGGCUCGGUGGAGAAUUAAUCCUGUAUGUUUUACAGUUCAGCUAAAACCAAAGUGGAUCUGUUGUUUUCCUUGCCCUAAAACUGAAGGUGGAACCAAAUCCAAUAAGCUAACCUCUGAAUGGAUUUCCUUUUAG